Molecule: ribosomal RNA, 465 nt
Filed under: Vreelandella stevensii
Lineage: Bacteria; Pseudomonadati; Pseudomonadota; Gammaproteobacteria; Oceanospirillales; Halomonadaceae
Description: partial 16S ribosomal RNA
Rfam family: Bacterial small subunit ribosomal RNA
Source: RNAcentral
CCUACGGGAGGCAGCAGUGGGGAAUAUUGGACAAUGGGCGAAAGCCUGAUCCAGCCAUGCCGCGUGUGUGAAGAAGGCCUUCGGGUUGUAAAGCACUUUCAGUGGGGAAGAAAGCCUUGGGGCUAAUACCCUCGAGGAAGGACAUCACCCACAGAAGAAACACCGGCUAACUCCGUGCCAGCAGCCGCGGUAAUACGGAGGGUGCGAGCGUUAAUCGGAAUUACUGGGCGUAAAGCGCGCGUAGGCGGUCUGAUAAGCCGGUUGUGAAAGCCCCGGGCUCAACCUGGGAACGGCAUCCGGAACUGUCAGGCUAGAGUGCAGGAGAGGAAGGUAGAAUUCCCGGUGUAGCGGUGAAAUGCGUAGAGAUCGGGAGGAAUACCAGUGGCGAAGGCGGCCUUCUGGACUGACACUGACGCUGAGGUGCGAAAGCGUGGGUAGCAAACAGGAUUAGAUACCCUAGUAGUC